This 965-nucleotide non-coding RNA is filed under the name Tadarida latouchei (La Touche's free-tailed bat). RNAcentral's name for it is "12S ribosomal RNA". It matches the Rfam family "Bacterial small subunit ribosomal RNA". Lineage: Eukaryota; Metazoa; Chordata; Mammalia; Chiroptera; Molossidae. The record is from RNAcentral.
CAGAGGUUUGGUCCUAGCCUUUCUAUUAGUUGUUAGUAAACUUACACAUGCAAGAAUCCCCGCCCCAGUGAGAAUGCCCUCUAAAUCAUAUUAUGAUAAAAAGGAGCAGGUAUCAAGCACACUACCAAGUAGCUCAUAACGCCUUGCUUAACCACACCCCCACGGGAAACAGCAGUGAUAAAAAUUAAGCCAUAAACGAAAGUUUGACUAAGUUAUACUAAAAAUUAAGGGUUGGUAAAUUUCGUGCCAGCCACCGCGGUCAUACGAUUAACCCGAACUAAUAGACAUCCGGCGUAAAGCGUGUUUAAGAAUAAGAUCAAAAAUAAAGAUAAAUACUAGCUAAGCUGUAAAAAGCCCCAGCUAUCAUAAAAUAAAUAACGAAAGUAACUUUAGAAUAUCUGAACACACGACAGCUAAGACCCAAACUGGGAUUAGAUACCCCACUAUGCUUAGCCGUAAACUCAAAAAAUUUUAAUAAACAAAAUUAUUCGCCAGAGUACUACUAGCAAAAGCUUAAAACUCAAAGGACUUGGCGGUGCUUUAUAUCCAUCUAGAGGAGCCUGUUCUAUAAUCGAUAAACCCCGAUAAACCUCACCAACCCUUGCUAAUUCAGCCUAUAUACCGCCAUCUUCAGCAAACCCUAAAAAGGAACCACAGUAAGCACGAUCAUCCAACAUAAAAACGUUAGGUCAAGGUGUAGCUAAUGAGUUGGGAAGAAAUGGGCUACAUUUCCUGUCACAGGAUAAUUUACGGAUAUCUCUAUGAAACCAGAGAUUAAAGGUGGAUUUAGUAGUAAGCUAAGAAUAGAGAGCUUAGCUGAAUAAGGCCAUGAAGCACGCACACACCGCCCGUCACCCUCCUCAAAUACUGCUAAAACAAUAAUAAAAUUAUAGCCCAAAAUUAAGCUUAUGAGAGGAGAUAAGUCGUAACAAGGUAAGCGUACUGGAAAGUGCGCUUGGUUAACU